RNAcentral lists this ribosomal RNA (771 nucleotides) under uncultured bacterium. RNAcentral describes it as "bacterial SSU rRNA". It matches the Rfam family "Bacterial small subunit ribosomal RNA", at positions 593 to 1326 of the family's 1533-position model. The record is from RNAcentral.
AUUAAAAGCCCAAAGUUUAACUUUGGAAAAGAUUUAGAACUAAUGUGACUGGAGUGCCACAGAGGAUAGUGGAAUUUUUAGAGGAGUGAUGAAAUAUCAAGAUACUAAAAGGAACACCACAAGCGAAGGCAACUAUCUGGGGGGACACUGACGCUGAAACACGAAAGUAUGGGGAGCAAACAGGAUUAGAGACCCUGGUAGUCCAUAGCUGUCAACCAUGAGUGUUUAAAAUUGGAGAAAUUUCAGUUUUUCAGCUAACGCAUGAAACACUCCGCCUGGGGAGUACGAUCGCAAGGUUGAAACUCAAAGGAAUUGACGGGGAUUCGCACAAGCGGUGGAGCAUGUGGUUUAAUUCGAUACAACGCGCAAAACCUUACCAGCCCUUGUAUUGUGAGGACAUAAGAAAAUCCAGAAAUGGGUCUUUGAAGUGAAAUGGAAGAAUCUUUCUCUGAAUUUUUCUUCUCUUUCAUUUAACUUCAUACAGGUGUUGCAUGGCUGUCGUCAGCUCGUGUUGUGAAAUGUUUGGUUAAUUCCAGUAACGAGCGCAACCCUUCUCUUUAGUUAAAAGGUAAUUGCUGCAACUUUAAAGAAACCGCUGAUCGAAAGAUUAGAGGGAGGGGAGGAUGACGUCAAGUCNUCAUGGCCCUUAUGGGCUGGGCUACACACGUGCUACAAUGGCGCGUACAGAGGGAAGCCAAGCCGCGAGGUGGAGCAGACCCCAGAAAGCGCGUCGUAGUUCGGAUUGCAGUCUGCAACUCGACUGCAUGAAGC